RNAcentral lists this ribosomal RNA (468 nucleotides) under uncultured bacterium. Its description in RNAcentral is "partial 16S ribosomal RNA". It matches the Rfam family "Bacterial small subunit ribosomal RNA", at positions 28 to 507 of the family's 1533-position model. The record is from RNAcentral.
GGCGAACGCUGGCGGCGUGCUUAACACAUGCAAGUCGAACGGAAAGGCCCUGCUUUUGUGGGGUGCUCGAGUGGCGAACGGGUGAGUAACACGUGAGUAACCUGCCCUUGACUUUGGGAUAACUUCAGGAAACUGGGGCUAAUACCGGAUAGGAGCUCCUGCUGCAUGGUGGGGGUUGGAAAGUUUCGGCGGUUGGGGAUGGACUCGCGGCUUAUCAGCUUGUUGGUGGGGUAGUGGCUUACCAAGGCUUUGACGGGUAGCCGGCCUGAGAGGGUGACCGGCCAAAUUGGGACUGAGAUACGGCCCAGACUACUACGGGAGGCAGCAGUGGGGAAUAUUGCACAAUGGGCGGAAGCCUGAUGCAGCAACGCCGCGUGCGGGAUGACGGCCUUCGGGUUGUAAACCGCUUUCGCCUGUGACGAAGCGUGAGUGACGGUAAUGGGUAAAGAAGCACCGGCUAACUACGUG